AAGCGUUAUCCGGAAUUAUUGGGCGUAAAGGGCUCGUAGGCGGUUCGUCGCGUCCGGUGUGAAAGUCCAUCGCUUAACGGUGGAUCCGCGCCGGGUACGGGCGGGCUUGAGUGCGGUAGGGGAGACUGGAAUUCCCGGUGUAACGGUGGAAUGUGUAGAUAUCGGGAAGAACACCAAUGGCGAAGGCAGGUCUCUGGGCCGUCACUGACGCUGAGGAGCGAAAGCGUGGGGAGCGAACAGGAUUAGAUACCCUGGUAGUCCACGCCGUAAACGGUGGAUGCUGGAUGUGGGGACCAUUCCACGGUCUCCG
RNAcentral lists this ribosomal RNA (310 nucleotides) under uncultured bacterium. RNAcentral describes it as "bacterial SSU rRNA". It matches the Rfam family "Bacterial small subunit ribosomal RNA", at positions 536 to 843 of the family's 1533-position model. The record is from RNAcentral.